This 73-nucleotide transfer RNA is filed under the name Rhipicephalus sanguineus (brown dog tick). Its description in RNAcentral is "transfer RNA serine (anticodon CGA)". It matches the Rfam family "tRNA". Rfam says of the family: Transfer RNA (tRNA) molecules are approximately 80 nucleotides in length. Their secondary structure includes four short double-helical elements and three loops (D, anti-codon, and T loops). The record is from Rfam by way of RNAcentral. Lineage: Eukaryota; Metazoa; Arthropoda; Arachnida; Ixodida; Ixodidae.
GCCGCGGUAGCUUAGUUGGUAGAGCAUCGGACGCGAUUUUUGAAGGUCGCAGGUUCGGUCCCUGCCCGCGGCA